GGAGAGGUGCCAGAGUGGACGAAUGGGGCGGUCUCGAAAACCGUUGUAGCGCCUUGCGUUACCGUGAGUUCGAAUCUCACCCUCUCCG
This 88-nucleotide transfer RNA is filed under the name Anaerolineales bacterium. Its description in RNAcentral is "tRNA-Ser". It matches the Rfam family "tRNA". From Rfam's summary of the family: Transfer RNA (tRNA) molecules are approximately 80 nucleotides in length. Their secondary structure includes four short double-helical elements and three loops (D, anti-codon, and T loops). The record is from RNAcentral. Lineage: Bacteria; Bacillati; Chloroflexota; Anaerolineae; Anaerolineales.